Long non-coding RNA from Passer domesticus (house sparrow), 559 nucleotides. RefSeq lists it as uncharacterized. Lineage: Eukaryota; Metazoa; Chordata; Aves; Passeriformes; Passeridae. The record is from RefSeq and is a predicted model, not a curated record. The transcript is spliced from 3 exons.
CAUGAUAACACUCAGAGACAGUGACUUGGAUGAGCCUGGAUUCAGCGAUUGCCCAGCAAGUUCAUGGUCCUGGGGCAUGAUCCAGAAAGUCAAGUCAGUGUGCAAGAGUCAGGAUAAGGAGGUGUGAGUCUUGACAGCAGCAGGGAUGAAGGGCAAGACAUGUAGCUUGCACGCUUCUCUGAAGGGGAAGGCAGGAGAUCCUGCACUGAGGCUCCUUUCCAGCUCCUCCUUCACUCUGGCUCUUGGCUCAACUCCCAGAACCAGUAGGGCUUGGAAUCAGAAUCACAGCAAAAAUUGGGUUGGAAGAGACCUUUACAGCCUUUUCCCACAGAAGAGAUGCUCCAAUCCUCUGGUAAUUUGUUCUGGCCCUCCUCUGGACCUAUUUCAACAGGUCCAUAUCUUUCCUCUGCUUAGGAUCCCAGAGCUGGACGCAGCACUACAGGCAAGAAAGCAUAGCUGGAAACACCAGUCACCAUAGAGCUGUCAGAACUCUUUCUGUCUCUUAAUUGUUGGCUUUGAGCAGAACACCAAAGAUGACAAAACUCAGGAAUCAUUCUGG